UAAAUAAAAUGUUAAAAAAGAAAAGAAAAGGAUAGCCAGAGAGAAAACAAAGCCCAGACAGAAGAGGGGACUUGCGAUUAUCUUCCAGAGCAGAAUCAUCUCUGGACCCUGAGCCUGCCUGCUUUGUUUGGCUUCUCAGACUUCUUUUGGCUGCCUACUUGGUGGUUUUUCCUUAUGUGCUCAAUCUCUGAAAUGAGACAGGGCUAGGAGCAAGUCCUUGGAGUCAGCACAUUGGAGAGUUCCUUCCUGGCCCUCCGCUCACGACCACACUGUGUCUUGCAUCACAAGUCCCAGGCAAAGGCCAAGAAAGUGUUUUGGGGAGGAGUUCACUGUGCACAGCCCUGUUCCUCUUCCUGCGGUCUCACGUUAUCUGUGGCUAAAAGAGGCAGCCAAAUAUAGUGGUUAAGAACCUAAAUUCUGGAAGCAGACAGCCUGAGAAUAAAUCCCAGUUCCCCAUUUACUAGGGGAGCAAGUUACUUGACAUUUUACAUAUGCCUCAAUUUCCUCACCUUAGAAAGGGUGUAGUCCAUUUCACUGGGUCAUUAGGAAGAUUAAACAGUCAACACGUGUAACAUACUUGGAACAAUGCCUGGCGCAUAGUAACUGCUCAGUAAGGGUCAGCUAUUAUUAUGGCCAGACUCGCCAUGUGAGAAAUUUUGAAAAAUGGGCACCAAGCAGCUAUAGAAAUUUUCUCUUCAGAACUGCCUACUCAGAGCAGCCCUGAAUCGGCAGUGGCCUUCCUCAGCUCUAUAACAGCCAUCUUCUAACCCUUCAGUAAGACACCCAUUUAACUCACCAAAAGAGAAAAACUAGAGACCAAACGAGGAUGUUUCAGGGCAUUCAAGCUUCUGAAAAGAUUUUUCUGCCAGCCAUUCAUUUCCAGAUUUUCUGACCCAGGAGCACCAAAAAACAAAACAGAACCAAAAAAAAUACCGGAAGCUUUUUGUGUAUGUGAUGGAUAAGGAGGGUGCUAAAGGAGACUGAACCACUAGGUGGCAGCAGAUGAGCAGACGAACCAAAAACAACCAAUUGCCUCUCCUUUUAGGAGCCCUUGCACCAAUCCAGACCUACAGGUUUUCUCUCCUCGCCUUGCUCGACUGCAUCAUCUAAAGGAGAGGCCCAGGGGAGGCGGGCAGGAAAGAGGGAGGAGCCCCCGCCGGGGCUCCGCAUCUGCCUGUUGACAAACUUUAUUUCUCUCCCAGCACCUGGCACCUCACCCGGGCUGCAGCAGUAGAGCCCGCUACCCAGGGAUGGGUUAACCCAGACGCUCAGGCCCUGCCACGUGAGAGGAGAGAAGCACACACAGGGAGGACGAGGCCUCUUCUGAGAGCAUGAAACGCUGCGAGGGCACUUCCUCUAUCAAGUGGACACUUCACUGGCCCAGAAAGUGCUGCAGACCUUGUCGCCGCUUCUCAAUGAACUCAUCAGAGCUGCCAAAGAAGGUUGACUUCCCAGGAAGUUCAGGCUCAGGACAGUCAAAACAUCUACCAACCGGUUCUGCCUCAGCACCAGCCCUCAGCCCCAGAAGGGGUUGACCCCAAUACAGAAGUCCGAAGCACUUACGUGGAGAAAGAUCUUAUAAUCCACGUAAGAAUUCCAGGAGCCCUCAUUCUGCACACGGGGAUCCUGAACACGCACAGUGAUCACCUCCUAGAGGAGAAGCGGAACUCAUUUACACCACGAAAUUAGCAGAGCAAAGAGCUUUCCCAAUUCCUUCCAGUGUACCAGAAGAUCCCUCCACACACAGCCACUGCGCACAGAGACAAAACCUCCCGGUAGAUGACCGGGCUACACCAUUGAGCAAACUAGAGGUUUUGUGACUGUGAUACCAGCUUUGUACUUUUGCUGACAAUCUGAUUUUUCAUCUG
Mustela erminea (ermine) is the source of this 1868-nucleotide long non-coding RNA. RefSeq lists it as uncharacterized. The transcript is spliced from 7 exons. The record is from RefSeq and is a predicted model, not a curated record. Lineage: Eukaryota; Metazoa; Chordata; Mammalia; Carnivora; Mustelidae.